UACGGGGGGAGCAAGCGUUGUUCGGAUUUACUGGGCGUAAAGGGCGCGUAGGCGGCGUGACAAGUCACUUGUGAAAUCUCCGGGCUUAACUCGGAACGGUCAAGUGAUACUGUCGUGCUAGAGUACAGAAGGGGCAACUGGAAUUCUCGGUGUAGCGGUGAAAUGCGUAGAUAUCGAGAGGAACACCUGCGGCGAAGGCGGGUUGCUGGGCUGAUACUGACGCUGAGGCGCGGAAA
This 236-nucleotide ribosomal RNA is filed under the name uncultured bacterium. Its description in RNAcentral is "partial 16S ribosomal RNA". It matches the Rfam family "Bacterial small subunit ribosomal RNA", at positions 524 to 759 of the family's 1533-position model. The record is from RNAcentral.